UGGCGGCAGGCUUAACACAUGCAAGUCGAGCGGGGAAGAGUAGCUUGCUACUUUACCUAGCGGCGGACGGGUGAGUAAUGCUUAGGAAUCUGCCUAUUAGUGGGGGACAACAUCUCGAAAGGGAUGCUAAUACCGCAUACGUCCUACGGGAGAAAGCAGGGGACCUUCGGGCCUUGCGCUAAUAGAUGAGCCUAAGUCGGAUUAGCUAGUUGGUGGGGUAAAGGCCUACCAAGGCGACGAUCUGUAGCGGGUCUGAGAGGAUGAUCCGCCACACUGGGACUGAGACACGGCCCAGACUCCUACGGGAGGCAGCAGUGGGGAAUAUUGGACAAUGGGGGGAACCCUGAUCCAGCCAUGCCGCGUGUGUGAAGAACGCCUUUUGGUUGUAAAGCACUUUAAGCGAGGAGGAGGCUACCGAGAUUAAUACUCUUGGAUAGUGGACGUUACUCGCAGAAUAAGCACCGGCUAACUCUGUGCCAGC
This 481-nucleotide ribosomal RNA is filed under the name marine sediment bacterium ISA-7232. RNAcentral's name for it is "bacterial SSU rRNA". It matches the Rfam family "Bacterial small subunit ribosomal RNA", at positions 37 to 512 of the family's 1533-position model. The record is from RNAcentral.